AUUGAACGCUGGCGGCAUGCUUUACACAUGCAAGUCGAACGGUAACAGGUUAAGCUGACGAGUGGCGAACGGGUGAGUAAUGCAUCGGAACGUGCCCGGUCGUGGGGGAUAACGCAGCGAAAGCUGCGCUAAUACCGCAUACGAUCUAAGGAUGAAAGCGGGGGACCGUAAGGCCUCGCGCGAUCGGAGCGGCCGAUGUCAGAUUAGGUAGUUGGUGGGGUAAAGGCGCACCAAGCCAACGACCUGUAGCUGGGCUGAGAGGACGACCAGCCACACUGGGACUGAGACACGGCCCAGACUCCUACGGGAGGCAGCAGUAGGGAAUUUUGGACAAUGGGCGAAAGCCUGAUCCAGCAAUGCCGCGUGCAGGAAGAAGGCCUUCGGGUUGUAAACUGCUUUUGUACGGAGCGAAAAGGUCUCCUCUAAUACAGGGGGCUCAUGACGGUACCGUAAGAAUAAGCACCGGCUAACUACGUGCCAGCCGCCGCAGUAA
This 493-nucleotide ribosomal RNA is filed under the name uncultured bacterium. RNAcentral describes it as "partial 16S ribosomal RNA". It matches the Rfam family "Bacterial small subunit ribosomal RNA", at positions 29 to 523 of the family's 1533-position model. The record is from RNAcentral.